RNAcentral lists this transfer RNA (70 nucleotides) under Camelus ferus (Wild Bactrian camel). It matches the Rfam family "tRNA". Rfam says of the family: Transfer RNA (tRNA) molecules are approximately 80 nucleotides in length. Their secondary structure includes four short double-helical elements and three loops (D, anti-codon, and T loops). The record is from Rfam by way of RNAcentral. Lineage: Eukaryota; Metazoa; Chordata; Mammalia; Artiodactyla; Camelidae.
GGGGGUAGCUCAGUGGUAGAGCAUGCAUGUAGCAGGAACGAGGUCCUGGGUUCCAUUCCCAGUACCUCCU